GCUUAAAAUCCAAAGGACUUGACGGUGUCCCACCCCACUAGAGGAGCCUGUUCUAUAAUCGAUAACCCCCGCUAUACCUCACCAUUUCUCGCUUCUAUGCAGCCUGUAUACCUCCGUCGUAAGCUCACCAUAUGAAUGAUCUAUAGUAGGCCUAAUGACUUCUACGCCAAUACGUCAGGUCAAGGUGCAGCCUAUGAAAUGGUAAGCAAUGGGCUACAAUUUCUAACCUAGAACAAACGAACAACCAUCUGAAACUAUGGUCAAGAAGGUGGAUUUAGUAGUAAAAGGGGAAAAUAGUGCCCCUUUUAACAGCGGCCAUGGGACACGUACAAACCGCCCGUCACCCUCUUCAACAGCUUAUUUUAGUUAAUAACACCACAUCUGCGCCUUAGAAGAGGCAAGUCGUAACAUGGUAAGCGUACUGGAAAGUGCACUUAGAUAAGCAAAAUGUAGCUUAGAAAAGCCCUCCGCUUACACCGGAAAGUCAUCCGUUAAAUCCAGAUCAUUUUGAGCCAUACCUCUAG
Molecule: ribosomal RNA, 524 nt
Filed under: Boophis miadana
Lineage: Eukaryota; Metazoa; Chordata; Amphibia; Anura; Mantellidae
Description: partial 12S ribosomal RNA
Rfam family: Bacterial small subunit ribosomal RNA (bases 1-450)
Source: RNAcentral